UCGAGAAUCUUCCACAAUGGGGGAAACCCUGAUGGAGCGACGCCGCGUGGUUGAAGAAGUCCUUCGGGAUGUAAAAACCUUUUACAAGGGAGGAAAUUUUGACUGUACCUUGUGAAUAAGGGGUUGCUAAACUCGUGCCAGCAGCAGCGGUAAUACGAGUGCCCCGAGCGUUAUCCGGAAUUAUUGGGCGUAAAGGGUGUGUAGGCGGUCGUGUUAGUCCUCCGUUAAAUCUCUCGGCUCAACCGAGAACCAGCGGGGGAGACGGCACGACUCGAGGGUAUGAGAGGUGCAUGGAACUCACAGUGUAGGGGUGAAAUCCGUUGAUAUUGUGGGGAACACCAAAUGCGAAGGCAGUGCACUGGCAUACUUCUGACGCUGAGACACGAAAGCGUGGGUCGCG
This 400-nucleotide ribosomal RNA is filed under the name uncultured bacterium. Its description in RNAcentral is "bacterial SSU rRNA". It matches the Rfam family "Bacterial small subunit ribosomal RNA", at positions 355 to 770 of the family's 1533-position model. The record is from RNAcentral.